This 76-nucleotide transfer RNA is filed under the name Candidatus Nomurabacteria bacterium RBG_16_40_11. RNAcentral's name for it is "tRNA-Lys". It matches the Rfam family "tRNA". From Rfam's summary of the family: Transfer RNA (tRNA) molecules are approximately 80 nucleotides in length. Their secondary structure includes four short double-helical elements and three loops (D, anti-codon, and T loops). Further hydrogen bonds mediate the characteristic L-shaped molecular structure. tRNAs have two regions of fundamental functional importance: the anti-codon, which is responsible for specific mRNA codon recognition, and the 3' end, to which the tRNAs corresponding amino acid is attached (by aminoacyl-tRNA synthetases). tRNAs cope with the degeneracy of the genetic code in two manners: having more than one tRNA (with a specific anti-codon) for a particular amino acid; and 'wobble' base-pairing, i.e. permitting non-standard base-pairing at the 3rd anti-codon position. RNAcentral also lists the same sequence under 2 other names. Lineage: Bacteria; Candidatus Nomuraibacteriota. The record is from RNAcentral.
GCGUCCAUAGCUCAGCUGGUAGAGCACUCGACUCUUAAUCGAAUGGUCGCAGGUUCGAUCCCUGCUGGACGCACCC